Molecule: ribosomal RNA, 492 nt
Filed under: uncultured bacterium
Lineage: Bacteria
Description: partial 16S ribosomal RNA
Rfam family: Bacterial small subunit ribosomal RNA
Source: RNAcentral
AGUGAACGCUGGCGGUAGGCCUAACACAUGCAAGUCGAACGGCAGCACAGUAAGAGCUUGCUCUUACGGGUGGCGAGUGGCGGACGGGUGAGGAAUACAUCGGAAUCUACUUUUUCGUGGGGGAUAACGUAGGGAAACUUACGCUAAUACCGCAUACGACCUACGGGUGAAAGCAGGGGAUCUUCGGACCUUGCGCGAUUGAAUGGGCCGAUGUCGGAUUAGCUAGUUGGAGGGGUAAAGGCCCACCAAGGCGACGAUCCGUAGCUGGUCUGAGAGGAUGAUCAGCCACACUGGAACUGAGACACGGUCCAGACUCCUACGGGAGGCAGCAGUGGGGAAUAUUGGACAAUGGGCGCAAGCCUGAUCCAGCCAUACCGCGUGGGUGAAGAAGGCCUUCGGGUUGUAAAGCCCUUUUGUUGGGAAAGAAAAGCAGCAGGUUAAUACCCCGCUGUUCUGACGGUACCCAAAGAAUAAGCACCGGCUAACUUCGUG